RNAcentral lists this ribosomal RNA (400 nucleotides) under uncultured bacterium. RNAcentral describes it as "bacterial SSU rRNA". It matches the Rfam family "Bacterial small subunit ribosomal RNA", at positions 29 to 453 of the family's 1533-position model. The record is from RNAcentral.
AACGAACGCUGGCGGCAGGCCUAACACAUGCAAGUCGAACGAACGUAGCAAUACGUGAGUGGCGCACGGGAGAGUAACACGUGGGAACCUACCUUUUGGUUUGGAAUAACGUCGGGAAACUGACGCUAAUACCGGAUAAGCCCUACGGGGGAAAGAUUUAUCGCCGAAAGAUGGGCCCGCGCUAGAUUAGCUUGUUGGUGAGGUAAUGGCUCACCAAGGCUACGAUCUAUAGCUGGUCUGAGAGGAUGACCAGCCUCACUGGGACUGAGACACGGCCCAGACUCCUACGGGAGGCAGCAGUGGGGAAUAUUGGACAAUGGGGGAAACCCUGGAUCCAGCCAUGCCGCGUGAAUGAUGAAGGCCUUCGGGUUGUAAAGUUCUUUUGGUAGGGACGAUGAUG